Molecule: long non-coding RNA, 599 nt
Organism: Daucus carota subsp. sativus
Lineage: Eukaryota; Viridiplantae; Streptophyta; Magnoliopsida; Apiales; Apiaceae
Exons: 2
Source: RefSeq, a predicted model, not a curated record
UAAAUUCUUAAUGCUCUCAUAUGCACCGCACCUUUCAUGCAUCACUUCAUUCUCUCCUUCACAUCUUUUCACCUUUUGCUUGCUUCUUGUAUAUUUUAACAUUAUGAUAGUACAAGGAGAAGAUAUCAUCACGCUCGCUGAUGGAUUCAUUCGAUCAUUGUGUGCAGGGGGUGGAGAAAGAUAGGAACAUACAUGGAACACUCAUUUAAGCAAGAAAUUAUAAGUAGUUUCUGUCAAGAAGCAACUAGGGCAGAAGCAUGUUCUACGGCCUCUUCCCCGGACCUUAAACCGGGCGGGGAUAAGACUGUGGAGCUCCUACAUAUAUCAACCUACUCACCAUCUUAUACGAAGAAGAUCGAAUACCAUUUUAACAGAAUAUUACAGUAAUAAAUAUUAUGUCGGCAGUCAUACUUGAAUAAGAAUAUCAUGUAACAAAAUCUAGUGAGCAUUCUUUAAUUAGAUUAUAUCAGACAUUGUAAAUUUAGAAUGAUUAUUAAAUGAUUAAUUCUCCCGAAAUCUCAAGAUGCUGGGAGGAAAGAGUUGUUGUCAUCAUAUUAUAUUUUAACAUAAUGCAGAUCAAGGCAUGUAUUUAUGUUUUA